Molecule: ribosomal RNA, 460 nt
Filed under: uncultured bacterium
Lineage: Bacteria
Description: partial 16S ribosomal RNA
Rfam family: Bacterial small subunit ribosomal RNA
Source: RNAcentral
CCUACGGGAGGCAGCAGUGAGGAAUAUUGGUCAAUGGACGAGAGUCUGAACCAGCCAAGUAGCGUGAAGGAUGACUGCCCUAUGGGUUGUAAACUGCUUUUAUAUGGGAAUAAAACAGGGUAUGCAUACCCUCUUGCAUGUACCAUAUGAAUAAGGAUCGGCUAAUGCCGUGCCAGCAGCCGCGGUAAUACGGAGGAUCCGAGCGUUAUCCGGAUUUAUUGGGUUUAAAGGGAGCGUAGGUGGCUUGUUAAGUCAGUUGUGAAAUUUUGGGGCUCAACCGUGAAAUUGCAGUUGAAACUGGCAGUCUUGAGUCCGUUAGAGGUGGGCGGAAUUCGUGGUGUAGCGGUGAAAUGCUUAGAUAUCACGAAGAACUCCGAUUGCGAAGGCAGCUCACUGGACUGCAACUGACACUGAUGCUCGAAAGUGUGGGUAUCAAACAGGAUUAGAUACCCCAGUAGUC